RNAcentral lists this long non-coding RNA (2185 nucleotides) under Homo sapiens (human). Its description in RNAcentral is "HSALNT0328137". The record is from RNAcentral. Lineage: Eukaryota; Metazoa; Chordata; Mammalia; Primates; Hominidae.
AUUAGCAUUUCUAGCAACAAUGUAUUUUUAAAUUAAGAUAUUUGAUGUGAUUCACCAGUACAGCCAUAUGAAGAUGAUAUUUUGAUUUUAGGAAUGUUUCAUUACAAAUGCAAUUCCUUCAACAGAGGCUUUUUCACUCCUCAGAAGAAAAAGUGGACACUAUAUGCCCCAAUGCAGCCGCAUUCCUGCUGGUCCCCAAAAGUAUAGUCACAAAAUUAAACAGGAAUGUCUCUGACGGCACUUCACUGACAGCUGAAUCAAGGCCAAUUCUAUGCCUCUGAGGAAUGCAGAGCAUACUUCAGGCUCUCCUGUUGCACAACACCCAAGUGAGCACCCAAGUGGUGGCUCUGGACCAAGAAUUGGACUGUUACAGCUACUGCCUACCAACAUAGGGUGUUCUGAGAGACAGGUUACAGCUACUGCCUAUCAACACAGGGUGUUCUGAGAAACAGCAAAGACACUUCGUUUCUGAAAAUGGCGAUCUGAGAACUUUAGAAAUGAACUUGAGAGGAAAAGAUGAACCUUAAAAAAUUUCACUAGGAAGUUGAACAUCUAGACCAGCAGUGUCCAAUAAAACUUUCUGCACUGAUACAAAUGUGUUAUAUCUGUGUUCUCCAAUAUGGCAGCUACCAAACACAUGUGGCUGUUGAGCACUUAAAAUGUGGUGAGGGUGAAUGAUAAACUGACUCUUUAAUGUUGCCUAACUUUAGUUUAAAUUUAAAUAGCCACAUGCAGCUAAUGGUUAUUGUAUUGAACAGUUCAGAUGUAAACAAAUGCUGGACUGAGCAACCAUUCAAAAAAAAUUUUAAGAUUCAUUUCUGAAUUCUUGAUCCUAAAAAAGUCCCUGUUUCCAUUGGGCCUGCUGUGAUGAAAUAAGUCUAUUUUAAGAACUUUGGGGAUAGAGAAAUCGUACUAGAUUUCCAAAAAAUUAAGGAUACUAAAGAUAUAGGUUGAUUUUUAAAGACUGUACUUGAACUUAUUCAUUUUAUAACUCAAAUUUUGUACCCUUUGAUCAAAAUCCUUCAUUUCUUUCACCCCCAGCACCUGACAACCACCUUUCUACUCUGUUUCUGUUACUAGUUAAUAAUUCUGUAUAUAAAAAUUUCUCAUUCAAACUAAAAAUAUAUAUAGUACUUGAAUUGUGAAUAUUUACCUUAAUUUUAACCUAACAUAAAUAAAAUACCUUUCCAUAUUGCUAUGAAGGACAAAAGUUAUCUCUGGACAGGUAAGUUAUCAGUCUAUUGAUUUAUCUAUCUACCAAUCUCUCCAUCCAUCUAUUAAUAUAAACUGUUUCCUUUUCAGACAGAUGUACCUUGAUUUCCUGCCAUUUUUCAGGAAGUAAACACAAAUACUGUUUUCCUUGGCUCCUUAAUAUAAAGAGGGCAAUAUGAGCUUAUAAAAAAAUGGUAACCAAGCACAUCUUGGACACUGCAGAAAUUUUUAGAGGCCUUUGUUACUAUCUCCUCCUGGCCAAAGGAAUUCAGGGAUGUUUUAAAAUGUGAGCAGUGGCCCCACUGCUAGGGGCAGCAUUACUGACAAGCUGGUGGCAAUGGGAUUCACACACAGGAAAUAAAAAUGAUGUGGACAGAAUGCAGAGAGCAAUGGGAGGUAGAUUUGUACAGAGGAAAUCCUGGCUAGAUUUUCCAAUAGUGCUGCAGAAGCACUCUUCUGAGCUUGUUUUCUAAAAUAUUUUCUGGUAUGUAAAUUGAAAAGAGGUUUGGCUUAAUUUCUUUUCUCUGUUUGCUGGGAUUGAAGUAGUGAGUUGGAAUGGGUGGAGGAAGAGAGCUAUGAAAGUAUUUUUAGGAAAAAUAGCAUCUUAAGAACCAUUUCCUUGGCAGACCCAGUCACUGACAUGUCAAAUUAGAAAGAUUCUGAAGAAAGAAAUGUCAAAUUAUACUCCAUCUGAUUUCCCAACACAAACUGCUGGUCAGUCUAGCUCACAGGGUGAGGAAGAAAAAGAAUUAGAUAAUGGGUGUGACGCUAUAGUAAGGAAACCAAGUACCAUAGGUCAGAAGUUGUCACCUGGUGUGAUUCAUCUUGAUUUAAAAGUCACCUAGUGUGAUUCAUCUUGUACUCUUUAUGAGGUGGAGAGCCUGUCAAUGAGACAGACAGACACAGAGAGAGAGACAGACAGAGAGAGAGAGAGAGACAGAGACAGAGAGACAGAGAAUGAAAGGGCAAGGGC